RNAcentral lists this unclassified non-coding RNA (260 nucleotides) under uncultured fungus. Its description in RNAcentral is "sequence contains ITS1, 5.8S rRNA gene". The stretch from base 212 to 260 matches the Rfam family "5.8S ribosomal RNA", at positions 1 to 49 of the family's 154-position model. The record is from RNAcentral. Lineage: Eukaryota; Fungi.
UCUCCGUUGGUGAACCAGCGGAGGGAUCAUUGCUGGAACGCGCCUCGGCGCACCCAGAAACCCUUUGUGAACUUAUACCUUAUUGUUGCCUCGGCGCAGGCCGGCCCCCUUCUGGGGGCCCCUCGUUUCUGACGAGGAGCAGGCUCGCCGGCGGCCAAGUUAACUCUUGUUUUUAUUGUGAAACUCUGAGAAUAAAACAUAAAUGAAUCAAAACUUUCAACAACGGAUCUCUUGGUUCUGGCAUCGAUGAAGAACGCAGC